Molecule: long non-coding RNA, 414 nt
Filed under: Numida meleagris (helmeted guineafowl)
Lineage: Eukaryota; Metazoa; Chordata; Aves; Galliformes; Numididae
Description: lncRNA (ENSNMEG00000019109.1)
Source: RNAcentral
AGCCUACACACUGAUGUCAUAAGAAGAGACUAAUACCUCGGAGGUGUGAGGAUGAUGCUACUGAGAGUCUCCAGAAAAUUCAAGUGUUAUAUACUGAAUAAAAGCCAUGUUUGAAUGUGCAUUGAGAGUGCCUCACGUUCAGUGUGACCCAUGAGCAUGAGAGCAGCGCUGGACAAAGCAGGUUUUUCUCUCUAAGAGGCAUAUCUGGUAUGUAUCAGGGCUCUGUCCUGUGAAACGUGCACCUAGGCUUCCAGUCAGCCGAGGGGUGCUGCUGCGGGUGCUCCCAGCAUGUGAGGUCCACUCCUGCCUGGCCUGUGGCAUCCCUCAGCCCCGACGGUGGAGUGCUGUGGGAGCCUGUAUGGCCUGCUGAGAGAGUGCCAGCCACGGAGCGGACAUUGGAAGAAUCUACACUGU